RNAcentral lists this ribosomal RNA (279 nucleotides) under uncultured bacterium. RNAcentral's name for it is "partial 16S ribosomal RNA". It matches the Rfam family "Bacterial small subunit ribosomal RNA", at positions 506 to 784 of the family's 1533-position model. The record is from RNAcentral.
UGCCAGCCGCCGCGGUAAUACGGGGGGUGCAAGCGUUACUCGGAAUCACUGGGCGUAAAGAGCAUGUAGGCUGGUUUGUAAGUUGGAAGUGAAAUCCUAUGGCUUAACCAUAGAACUGCUUCCAAAACUGCAGACCUAGAGUAUGGGAGAGGUAGAUGGAAUUUCUGGCGUAGGGGUAAAAUCCGUAGAGAUCAGAAGGAAUACCGAUUGCGAAGGCGGCUUUCUGGUCUAAUACUGACGCUGAGGCGCGAAAGCUAGGGGAGCGAACGGGAUUAGAUA